CUCCAGGAGCUGGGGCUGCAUGGAGGAAAGACACACUCCCUCUAUCACACCUCUCCUGCUAAAACAAAUCGCAAGACCUGGCAACAGCGAAAACGGCAGGAUUGGAGGUGCCAAUGUUAUUCCCACCAGCAGCCGCCUUUGUGGACAGAAAAUCACUGGGCCGUUUCAAAACAACUAGAGCUCUAUUUUUGUUACAUUGUUGCUGUUGAAUUUGGAAAAGUGGACAUGAAUACAUCUUAUAAAGGUAUGUAUCAUCAAAAAAACAAACACUCAUCAAUUCUAAUUCUAGUGCUGUCAUUCAUUUGUUAUCUGUCUUUAGGAAGUCACUUAAGUCAAAAUCUUUAAAAAUAUUGAGCACUCAUGGUGCCUAUAUAUAAAGUGAAACUCUAGCCUCUAUGUUUCUAAAACUAGGCACACAAAUUAAUGAAUGCUUUUGAGAAUUAUGGCCUUAACUUUUUUGUUCCUCAGUUUUUCAAUCUAUAAAAUGUACCUACCCUAUGAGGCUAUUGUCAGGAUUAGUU
Molecule: long non-coding RNA, 521 nt
Filed under: Chrysemys picta bellii (western painted turtle)
Lineage: Eukaryota; Metazoa; Chordata; Testudines; Emydidae
Description: lncRNA (ENSCPBG00000008332.1)
Source: RNAcentral